Molecule: ribosomal RNA, 190 nt
Filed under: uncultured bacterium
Lineage: Bacteria
Description: partial 16S ribosomal RNA
Rfam family: Bacterial small subunit ribosomal RNA
Source: RNAcentral
UCUGCAACUCGACUCCAUGAAGCUGGAUUCGCUAGUAAUCGCGCAUCAGCCAUGGCGCGGUGAAUACGUUCCCGGGCCUUGUACACACCGCCCGUCAAGCCAUGGGAGUCGGGAGUGCCUGAAGUUCGUGACCGUCACAGGAGCGACCUAAGGCAAGACCGAUGACUGGGCUAAGUCGUAACAAGGUACC